AUUGAACGCUGGCGGAAUGCUUUACACAUUCAAGUCGAACGGCAGCACGGACUUCGGUCUGGUGGCGAGUGGCGAACGGGUGAGUAAUGUAUCGGAACGUGCCCAGUCGUGGGGGAUAACGUAGUGAAAAUUACGCUAAUACCGCAUACGAUCUAUGGAUGAAAGCGGGGGAUCGCAAGACCUCGCGCGAUUGGAGCGGCCGAUAUCAGGUUAGGUAGUUGGUGGGGUAAAGGCCCACUAAGCCAACGAUCUGUAGCUGGUCGGAGAGGACGACCAGCAACACUGGAACUGAGACACGGUCCAGACUCCUACGGGAGGCAGCAGUGGGGAAUUUUGGACAAUGGGCGAAAGCCUGAUCCAGCCAUUCCGCGUGCAGGAUGAAGGCCCUCGGGUUGUAAACUGCUUCUGUACAGAACGAAAAGGUUUCUACUAAUACUAGGAGCUCAUGACGGUACUGUAAGAAUAAGCACCGGCUAACUACGUGCCAGCCGCCGCAGUAA
RNAcentral lists this ribosomal RNA (500 nucleotides) under uncultured bacterium. Its description in RNAcentral is "partial 16S ribosomal RNA". It matches the Rfam family "Bacterial small subunit ribosomal RNA", at positions 30 to 523 of the family's 1533-position model. The record is from RNAcentral.